This 1877-nucleotide long non-coding RNA is filed under the name Mytilus galloprovincialis (Mediterranean mussel). The record is from RNAcentral. Lineage: Eukaryota; Metazoa; Mollusca; Bivalvia; Mytilida; Mytilidae.
AUUUCAACGAGUAUCCUAAGUUAAUAAUAAUGAUUUCCUUACAUUAUUGUUUAUACAAAAGAAUCUGUCUAAAUACACGCAUAGAACUUUUACACAAUGAAAAGUUGUGACUAACUUAAAAUGCUGGGACUGGAUAGAAGCAUUAGUUUCGUAUGAAUCAUGCGUUGUUUGACUUAAUAAAUUACCCAGAACACUUAGCUGCAGUCAGUACAGGGAAAGUACCGCAAAUUUAAAGAAAAAAUAUCGUGCUUCCACUGAGGAACAAUAUACAAAUAUAUCUUGAUCAGAAUCCAAAUAUACUACUUUAGUAAAAGUAAUAAGAUACCAAUUAUUAAAAUGGGCGAUAAAAGAAAUCUGGACCGCAAUUACAAGAUCAUGAGAAAACAUCCGUUUACAAAAUUACAAUGUAUAAAGGAAUUGUAUAGAAAAAGAACAAGCGCACAAACCUUACUUUUUUAAGUAAGAAAAUUCCAAGGUACUAGAAAAGAAAUCUGGACCGCAACAAGAUCAUGAGAAAGUUAUUAGUCUACAAAAACAACAACGUAAAAAUGGAAAUAUAUAUAUAGAACUAGCACAGAAACCCUACUAUUUAACUACAUUAUAACCUUAAAAGUCAAAAGAUUACAAGGGACGAUAAAAGGAAUCUGGACUGCAACAUAAUCAUGAGAAAAACAUAAGUCUGAAAAAAACGACUAUCUAAAAUUGCUAUUUCCAGAGAGCUACAGCAGUUACUUCUAACUUUAUAGAAAAAAGUAGUAAUAAGAUUCCAAUUGACGAUAAAAGAAAUCUGGACAGCAACAUGACCGUGAGAAAAAACCCAAGUCUACAAAAUCAACAAUCCAAAAGACAAAUUACAAAAUACUACAGACUGAGCAAUACGAAGCCAAUUUGGGAUGAACUUAAAAUGAUCCGGAAGUAAGAAGAUCCUGUCCUACUAGAGGUAUCCGUCGAUUACCUCACUACAAAUGAUUAAAAAAUACGGCAAAGAAGGUUGCCGUAACGAUAACUUAUCUAUAUCCGUGGUCAUCUUUCCCACAGGUAUAUUGUAACGAGUCCCUCAAGCUCUCAUUGUUUCCAUAAAACUUAUGAGGAGACGACUUAAACUUACCAAGACUAAAAUCCACGGUUUAGAAACUUCCUUCAUUGGUAAAACUCUCAAUCAAAUCUCACGUUGCUGUACUUAUUAUACUUUUUUCGUUCAUUGUUCGUACAAAAAUCAGACCGUUAGUUUUCUCAUUCUGAGAUAUGUUUUACAGUUGUUAUUUCAGGACCUUUUUAUAUAUUUUACUAUACGGUAUGGUUUUUUCUCAUUGUUGAAAGUCGUACUGUGACUUAUAUAGUUGUCAACUUCUACGUUAUUUUGUUUCUUCUGUGAGAGUGUUGUCUAAUUGGCAACCAUACCACAUCUUCUUAUUAAAUAGUGAAAUUUGAACACUGCUGGAUGUAUUUCUAUUUCUAUUCAUCUAAUACGUUAAGCCUUUCCCAACUGAUGUUAAUAUAGUUUGUUCUUAUGUUGUAUUGUUACACCACUGUACCAUGUUUUGGGAACGUUAGUGCCUACAAACUAGUUUAAUACCACCCAUUCUUUAUAUGUGCCUGUACCAAAUAAGGAACCUGUUAUUGAGUGGUUGUUCUGUUUUGCUGCUUCUAAAAUUUGUUUAUCGUUUAUAUUUUUGCACAGUUUGUUCGUGUGUUGUUUCGUUGCAGCAUUGUCCCAGGUCAGGGGGAGGCCGGGGUUUUGGCGCUAACUAACCUGUUAUUCAGUGGAUGUCGUUUGUUGUAGCAUUUCAUUUAUGUUUUUUGGUUCAAUAUUUUGAACAUAAAUUAGGACACUAGUUUUCUCGUUUGAAUUGUUUUACAUUUGUCAUUUUUAAGUC